UGCUCAAUGCUUAACCCUUUCCGAUUUCUGAAUUCGGAGAAUCGAGAUUAACACAAAGCAAAGGAGCUUAAUCAUCUUUUCGUCUCUGCUAUUUUUCCCUUCAAGAUCAUUUAGUUGGGAUGUAACAUAUCCGAUCAACUAGGAGAUGAUGCUGAUUACGUGGCAGAUGAAUUUGAAAUUGAAGAACUAGAUGAUUUAUUGAUGAGUUCGAAGGCAUAGACUUCGAUGGCUUUGAUUCAGAUGCAGAUGAGCUGCAAGGCAUAGACUUAGGUGGCUUUGAUUCAGAUAUAGAUGAAUUGCAAGGCAUAGAUUUAGGUGGCUUUGAUUUGGAUGUAGAUGAGUUGCAAGGCAGAGACUUGGGUGGCUUUGAUUCGGAUGUGGAUGAGAAUGACGACAUGAAUAAUAGAACACAAGAUACUUCGGCUUCUGAGGCAAGGAGUGCCAAAGACAUUCAAGAGAUCCCCUGAGAAAGGCUUAGCAUAACCAGGGAGAAAUAUAGGCAAACAAGACUAGAACGGUAUAAGAACUAUGAAAGUAUUCCUCAAUCUAUUGAGACAUCAAAGAAGGAAUACAAAAUCACAAAGAAAGAGGGCUUAUACUAUGAUUUCAGACGUAAUUCAAGAUCUGUUAAAUCAAUGAUCUUUCACUUUCAGGUUGAGAUCGAGUGUCACAUUCCGACACAUAUUUGAAUCGGGUGUCACGUUCCGACAUAAAUCUUGGAUCGUGUGUCACGUUCCGACGCAAGUUAAGUGUGGCAGGUCCCAUGAGAGGACCCUUAUGUGAAUUUGUAUGAUAUUGAGGUUAUUGAACUUUGAUCUUGCUGAGUACUGUUUGAGAUGAAAAUGGUAAAGUCAUUCUAUAUAUAUGUGCCUAUUAUGUUGAGUUUACUUGUCCAUGAUCCGCUUAUUGGCUAGUCGCGUGAUCCUACCAGUACACUGUUGAUUUUGUGUAAUGAUACUACACUUGCUCUGUCUUUGUUGAGUACAGGGCAUAUUCAUCCGGCUGCGGAGAGACCUCGCUUAGAGGAGUGACACUUGUUCGAAUUCAAGGGUGAGUUGUUUUCUUUCAAUCUACCGUGGACUCUCUUAUUUCUAGUCCUUCUUUCGGGACUUAGAUGUUCAGACAAUGGUUUAUUCAUUAAAGAUUUUCUGUUGGGAGUAACACUCCCUUUCUAGACUUGUUAGUUUUAGAAUUUUGAGUACAAUGACUUUCAGUUCCUAGGAUAUUUUCGCAUGUUGAGAUUGUUGACUAGAUUGUUUUUUGAGUUUAUGGGAACUCAAUAUUUUCUAUUCAUUUAAACUUGCUUCUGCAUCUUUAACUUGUUUAUAUAUCACAAGUGUUGCUACCUUGGGCUGUAAAAAUGGUUCUCCCACUAGAGGGUUAGUAGAGGUACCAGUCACUGCGGGUCGGAGUCGUGACAAAGUUUGUUUCAGAUUCCUAAAUUUGUUGAUCUCGUCGUACCAAAACGAGUCUAGUAGAGUCUCAUAGAACGAUAUGGAGACGUCUGUACUUUUCUUCGAGAGGCUAUAAGACUUUAGGAAAAGUUUCUCUAUUUUUUUUCCUUAGUGCUAUAACUUGAUUCUAAUUGGUAUCUAACUUCUUUCAUUCUCUUGUUCGCAAAUGGUUAAUACUCGCUAUAAUGGUGUUCGGCCCAUAGUUCCAGUGAAGACAAAGGAAGAGGCAGUCGUUCGAGGGCGAGGUAGAGGUAGAGACAAGAGAGGGAGAAGCGAUAGGGGCAGAGGGAGAGCAGCAAUAAAUUUCUCCGAAAAAACCAUAAAGCUACAAAGCUUUUUCGAAAGAAAAAACCACCAAGGAUGCAAUAGAUUUCUCCGAAAAGAUAUCUGAAGAUGAAGCAAUAAAGGUGCAUGGGUUGCAGGCGAAAAUGGUACUAAUAGGGUGUCUACUAUGUAAUUCCAUGAUAAAGAUGCAGAAACCACAAAGGUGCAUAGUUUGUAUGAAGGUGGGAUUAAUGGGGUUCAGUAGUAAGUAGGGUGAAAUAUUUGCAGGAGUCAUAGAUAUCCAGGGGAGCAUGCAUGAACGAUAAAUGACAUGCUGGUGUGACCACCAAAAAUUUAAAUGGCCCAACUUUGGAUCAUACACCUACAUACAUGUAAGGUCCAAAAUAAUGACAAUGCACCCACAGCUUGCACUCAUAUUUGAGAAAUUUCCACGGUGACACAUAGUAAUAGCUCUUCA
Solanum dulcamara is the source of this 2196-nucleotide long non-coding RNA. RefSeq lists it as uncharacterized. The record is from RefSeq and is a predicted model, not a curated record. NCBI's taxonomy places the organism in Eukaryota, Viridiplantae, Streptophyta, Magnoliopsida, Solanales, Solanaceae. The transcript has 5 exons.